CGAGYYCCUUCUUUUUCUUUUAAUCUUUCCAUUAAUGUUCUAGUGUAAGGUUAACGUUAUUAUUUUUAGGUUUUUCUUGUAAGGUGUUACUAAAGUUAAUUCAUUUUCGUUAAUCGCCAAUAGUGUCUAAAAUGGCUUAGGCUUACAUUUUGGAGAAGUUCUACUUCUUAUUACUAGUUCUAGCAUAAAAUCUUCCAUAGGGUUAUGGAAUUACUCAAUACUAAUUAUGGGUUGAAUAAUAAUAAAGGCAUUAAAUGGAAAAAAUAGUAAACUUUAACGUUUUUUAAAAGAUGGCUGUUUUUAGGCCCACUUGAUAUUUUUCUCGAUAUUAUUACCCUAUAUUUUAGGUUGUAUCCUUUUUCAAAUAAGCUGUGCCUUAUUUGAAUGACUCUUAAACUUAGUGGAUGUUUAGAAAAACUAAAAAAGUUUAAGGCUGAACUAAUAUUCUUUUCUUGAGCAACCAGCUAUCUCUUGGUGCGGUAGGUUUGUCGCCUCUACUUGGAAAUCGUCCCACUCUAUUGCAACAGAGAUGGGUUUGCUCUUUUAGCUGUUUCGAAGUAGCUCACCUAGUUUCGGGGGGUUAAACUUAAAUUUCUUUUUGCUUAGUUUUACUGGCUAGACCAUGAUGCAAAAGGGUCGAG
This 641-nucleotide ribosomal RNA is filed under the name Blommersia grandisonae. Its description in RNAcentral is "partial 16S ribosomal RNA". The record is from RNAcentral. Lineage: Eukaryota; Metazoa; Chordata; Amphibia; Anura; Mantellidae.